CGUACUCUGUGCCUCCGGUCCCGGGUAGUACGGAGGGUGGGAGCGUUUGCCGGCAGCACUGUGCGUAAGGUGCGCCUAGGCUGCCUGUCAAGUCUGUCGUGAAAGCUCAGGGCUCAACUCCGAGUCGGCCAUAGAUACUGCGAGGCUCGAGUCGAGUAGAGGCAGAUGGAAUUCCGGGUGUAGCGGUGGAAUGCGUAGAGAUCCGGAAGAACACCGGUGGCGAAGGCGGUCUGCUGGGGUCGAACUGACGCUGAUGCGCGACAGCGUGGGGAGCAAACAGGAUUAGAUACCCCAGUAGUC
Molecule: ribosomal RNA, 300 nt
Filed under: uncultured Natronobacterium sp.
Lineage: Archaea; Methanobacteriati; Methanobacteriota; Halobacteria; Halobacteriales; Natrialbaceae
Description: bacterial SSU rRNA
Rfam family: Bacterial small subunit ribosomal RNA
Source: RNAcentral